This 75-nucleotide transfer RNA is filed under the name Verrucomicrobiota bacterium. RNAcentral's name for it is "Verrucomicrobia bacterium (marine sediment metagenome) tRNA-Phe". It matches the Rfam family "tRNA". Rfam says of the family: Transfer RNA (tRNA) molecules are approximately 80 nucleotides in length. Their secondary structure includes four short double-helical elements and three loops (D, anti-codon, and T loops). Further hydrogen bonds mediate the characteristic L-shaped molecular structure. tRNAs have two regions of fundamental functional importance: the anti-codon, which is responsible for specific mRNA codon recognition, and the 3' end, to which the tRNAs corresponding amino acid is attached (by aminoacyl-tRNA synthetases). tRNAs cope with the degeneracy of the genetic code in two manners: having more than one tRNA (with a specific anti-codon) for a particular amino acid; and 'wobble' base-pairing, i.e. permitting non-standard base-pairing at the 3rd anti-codon position. Lineage: Bacteria; Pseudomonadati; Verrucomicrobiota. The record is from RNAcentral.
CCCCGAGUAGCUGAGGCAGAUUAGCGCCUCCCUGAAGAGGAGGAGACGUUGGUGCAAUACCAACCUCGGGGACCA